UUGACAAUAUUCUUUCUGGCACGGCAGUUCCUUUUAUUUUAUUAAAACUGUAAAACUGACAGUCUACCAAACCACGAGGACGAUAGACAGCCUCUCUUUCUGAGCGCGAAGCCAACCAGGGUGAGUGCCAUCUCAGGCAAGUAACCCUGGUUCUUGAUGACCGUUCCUCUUCAGUCACAUGUGGCAGAGUUGGAGGGAAGAGAGGCAUUCUGAGUGGU
Molecule: small nucleolar RNA, 218 nt
Organism: Haliotis rubra (blacklip abalone)
Lineage: Eukaryota; Metazoa; Mollusca; Gastropoda; Lepetellida; Haliotidae
Product: small nucleolar RNA U3
Exons: 1
Source: RefSeq, a predicted model, not a curated record